CACGUAGGGGGCGAGCGUUGUCCGGAUUUAUUGGGCGUAAAGAGCUCGUAGGCGGCUCAGUAAGUCAGGUGUGAAAACUCCAGGCUUAACCUGGAGACGCCACUUGAUACUGCUGUGGCUAGAGUCCGGUAGGGGAGCAUGGAAUUCCUGGUGUAGCGGUGAAAUGCGCAGAUAUCAGGAAGAACACCUAUGGCGAAGGCAGCUCUCUGGGACGGUACUGACGCUGAGACGCGAAAGCGUGGGGAGCGAACAGG
Molecule: ribosomal RNA, 254 nt
Filed under: uncultured bacterium
Lineage: Bacteria
Description: partial 16S ribosomal RNA
Rfam family: Bacterial small subunit ribosomal RNA
Source: RNAcentral